This 706-nucleotide ribosomal RNA is filed under the name uncultured bacterium. RNAcentral describes it as "bacterial SSU rRNA". It matches the Rfam family "Bacterial small subunit ribosomal RNA", at positions 102 to 807 of the family's 1533-position model. The record is from RNAcentral.
ACGGGUGAGUAACGCGUAAUCAACCUGCCCUUCAGAGGGGGACAACAGUUGGAAACGACUGCUAAUACCGCAUACGAUCUGACCUCGGCAUCGAGGAUAGAUGAAAGGUGGCCUCUAUUUAUAAGCUAUCACUGAAGGAGGGGAUUGCGUCUGAUUAGCUAGUUGGAGGGGUAACGGCCCACCAAGGCGAUGAUCAGUAGCCGGUCUGAGAGGAUGAACGGCCACAUUGGGACUGAGACACGGCCCAGACUCCUACGGGAGGCAGCAGUGGGGAAUAUUGCACAAUGGGCGCAAGCCUGAUGCAGCAACGCCGCGUGAAGGAUGAAGGCCUUCGGGUUGUAAACUUCUGUCCUAGGGGAAGAAACAAAUGACAUUACCCUUGGAGGAAGCCCCGGCUAACUACGUGCCAGCAGCCGCGGUAAUACGUAGGUGGCAAGCGUUGUCCGGAAUUAUUGGGCGUAAAGCGCGCGCAGGCGGAUUGGUCAGUCUGUCUUAAAAGUUCGGGGCUUAACCCCGUGAUGGGAUGGAAACUGCCAAUCUAGAGUAUCGGAGAGGAAAGUGGAAUUCCUAGUGUAGCGGUGAAAUGCGUAGAUAUUAGGAAGAACACCAGUGGCGAAGGCGACUUUCUGGACGAAAACUGACGCUGAGGCGCGAAAGCCAGGGGAGCGAACGGGAUUAGAUACCCCGGUAGUCCUGGCCCGUAAAC